RNAcentral lists this ribosomal RNA (459 nucleotides) under uncultured bacterium. RNAcentral describes it as "partial 16S ribosomal RNA". It matches the Rfam family "Bacterial small subunit ribosomal RNA", at positions 338 to 795 of the family's 1533-position model. The record is from RNAcentral.
CCUACGGGUGGCAGCAGUGAGGAAUAUUGGUCAAUGGGCGGGAGUCUGAACCAGCCAAGCCGCGUGAGGGAAGAAGGUACAGCGUAUCGUAAACCUCUUUUGUCAGGGAACAAAGGCGGGGACUAGUCCCCGAUUGAGGGUACCUGACGAAAUAGCAUCGGCUAACUCCGUGCCAGCAGCCGCGGUAAUACGGGGGAUUCGAGCGUUAUCCGGUUUUAUUGGGUUAAAGGGGUGCGCAGGCGGCCUUUUAAGUCAGCGGUAAAAGCCCGGGGCUAAACCCCGGCGAGCCGUUGAAACUGGCGGGCUGGAGUUGGGGAGAAGUACGCGGAAUGCGCGGUGUAGCGGUGAAAUGCUUAGAUAUCGCGCAGAACCCCGGUUGCGAAGGCAGCGUACCGGCUCCACACUGACGCUGAGGCACGAAAGCGUGGGUAGCGAACAGGAUUAGAUACCCCAGUAGUC